Molecule: long non-coding RNA, 2381 nt
Organism: Gallus gallus (chicken)
Lineage: Eukaryota; Metazoa; Chordata; Aves; Galliformes; Phasianidae
Source: Ensembl
CAGGGGAAUUAAUUCCACUGAAGCAGUCGGUAUGCCAGCAAGGGACAGCCUUGCACAGCAGUUGAAUUUUGUUCACAGAAGAGCAAGACAUAGCUUAACAACUGCAAGAAAAUUCCUGCUUCCUUAUGACCCUGCACAAGACUUCCAGCAAAAUGAUUUGAACUCCUAUUAGCUGAACAAAAUUGCAGUUUUUCAAAAAUAUUUAAGUACCUGAAAAGGAAGUUUGCCUUCAAGUGCAGCACACCAUCAGAAGCCCAUCAAAUGUUUUGCCUGGACUUUUACACACUAUCUCAAUAAACAAAGAGCUUCUCAGAAACCAUCUGCUAAUGGGAGAAUGCAACUUUACAGCAGUUUUACAUCCUCUGACACCCUGAUUGAAGAUGAAGCAGAUGGAGAACAUAACCAAGGUGGAUACUUGUUGUGACAAUUUGGCUGCAAUGUCAGAAGCAUGAUCUAUGUAGAUAAGCAAACAAGCCUUUUAUCAAUACUGGCGUACAGAAAGGUUUCCAGAACAAAAAGGCAAGCCUCUUUCCCAACCACUCAGGCCCAGAAUCCUACGUCAGCCCAAGGUCAUCAGCCCUUGCCCCAGCAAGGCAGCAGCAGGUCUGGACUCCAGCUACCCACAGCCCUACCCUGCCUGGGCAUGGCCCUCACUAGCCAGGCCUACAUCCCAGCCUAGCAUGGCCCAGCUUUGUCCACAGGAAAUUCACUCCAGUGCUAGGUUUGCUUAUUGCUCCUGGCCACCCUUCUCCUGGUAGGAUGAAGAGACUACGCCUGGCUGCCAAUGUCUUCCCAAGGGAGCCCAGGGGAGCCUGCAGCCCCCACAGGGGGUGCUAAGAACUUUUAAGUUCUUAGUUACAAUAAAGUAUGUCAAUACAUAACUGGUAUGCAUUUACAAAUCUUGCCUGCCCAAAUCUCAACCACUCUAACACCACACUUAGUCUGGCAAGAUGCAGCACAUUCUACGCACAAGCUACUCCCACAAAGGAGCCUCUGCACAGGUCAUGGGAGCAUUCAGCUCCGCAGGGAGCAUUGGUGCCAUGUCAGGGUUACACCAAGUAGUUCAAUUUUCCAAAGUAGUUUCUAAAGACAACAAGGAGUAUCUUCUCAGCCCUUUUGAAAUCCUGUCACAAAGGUUAUUCUGGUUAAUUUCCCAUUUCUGACAACUUGCUCCUAGUUUUUUUAUGGCAAUGAAAGCCUUGGGUAGACAUCUUCCAAACUGGCUUCCCAGUUUCAGACACUGCUGCAGCUGCUCAUUUUCAGAAUUAAUUGAUAUUAUUCACCACACUAAAUAUUCAUUUGAGUUUUCACCUGAAUUUUCAAGGAUGAUUUACAGACUCUGCUUCUGCUUCAUUCGUGUUCUGGUUCAACCUUACAUUUUCAUUCACUUGAGAAAUGAAACCACAGCCAAGCAAUUCAGGUAAUCACAUCAUCUGAUUUGACAGCUAAAUCUGUCUUAACUGCCAGCUUGUGCAAUGAGGAAGAAAGGAAGAAAGAAAAAAGCCCUUCACCCUGGCAUGGGGCAGCCCAUGUCAGAGGGAAAGCCAAGAGGAACUGAUGGAGGCCUCUGGUCUCUCAUCUGUGCUUAGCUUCAUCUCAGAUCACAGCAGAGCUUUCGACAGAGGAGGAAAUUUGGAUGAAAGGCAGCUGCUGGCUCCUGGAUGAUAAGGCAGAUGAAAGAACUGAAGUCUUGCAAGUGAGAGAUGACUGGUUAAUAAGAGGUUGAAAUUGGCAGGGCUUUCUAUUAGAGAUAUUGGCACUACAGGUUCUUAGAAGUCUGGGAAAAGGCCCAAGGAAUAGAGCAAUUGAGGAAUAAUCCUUCUUUAAAAUAAUAGAGUUAAACGAACUAAAUCAAUUGUUAAGUAUUUUCUGUACAUAAGGUCUUUACUGAAGGCUUUGUCUGGGGUGUCAGGAGUUCUGGGAGCAUGAGAAAGCUUGUUGGGUAGAGAGGUCUCUGCUCUCCAGACUCUCAGGUUGGAAUUGUUAUCAGCAAAGUUAGGGUCAGACUAGGAGGGAAGAGGGCACUGCUGAGAUCCUGAUGUGAUGAAAGAAUUUCUAGGAUGGUGUAGGACAGCAUGGAACAGUGAAAUAAAUGGGUGAAGAGGACAUCUUGCAAUGCCUGGGAACAACCCCAGGCACGAGUACAGCUGAAAAGCAGCUUUGCAGAAAAGGUCCUGGAGGUCUUGCUAGACACCAAGUUGAAUACGAGCUGUCAGCAUGCCCUUGCCUUAAAGAAGGCCAGUUGGGCUACAUAAGGUACACUAAUGCCAGCAGGUCAAGGGAGGUGAUCCUUCCCCACUAUCUAGCACUGCUGAGGCCACACCUGAAAUACUGUGUCCAGUUCUGGACUGCCCAGUACAAGGGAGACAUAGAAAUACUGG